RNAcentral lists this ribosomal RNA (250 nucleotides) under uncultured bacterium. RNAcentral describes it as "partial 16S ribosomal RNA". It matches the Rfam family "Bacterial small subunit ribosomal RNA", at positions 524 to 773 of the family's 1533-position model. The record is from RNAcentral.
UACGGAGGGUGCAAGCGUUAUCCGGAUUCACUGGGUUUAAAGGGUGCGUAGGUGGGUUGGUAAGUCAGUGGUGAAAUCCCCGAGCUUAACUCGGGAACUGCCGUUGAUACUAUCAAUCUUGAAUAUCGUUGAGGUAAGCGGAAUAUGUCAUGUAGCGGUGAAAUGCUUAGAUAUGACAUAGAACACCGAUAGCGGAGGCAGCUUACUAAGCGAUUAUUGACACUGAGGCACGAAAGCGUGGGGAUCAAAC